RNAcentral lists this transfer RNA (77 nucleotides) under Pseudoramibacter alactolyticus. RNAcentral's name for it is "tRNA-Arg". It matches the Rfam family "tRNA". From Rfam's summary of the family: Transfer RNA (tRNA) molecules are approximately 80 nucleotides in length. Their secondary structure includes four short double-helical elements and three loops (D, anti-codon, and T loops). Lineage: Bacteria; Bacillati; Bacillota; Clostridia; Eubacteriales; Eubacteriaceae. The record is from RNAcentral. RNAcentral also lists the same sequence under 5 other names.
GCGCCAAUAGCUCAGCUGGAUAGAGCGUUCGGCUACGAACCGAAAGGGCAGGGGUUCGAAUCCCUUUUGGCGCACCA